RNAcentral lists this ribosomal RNA (16 nucleotides) under Pisolithus tinctorius. Its description in RNAcentral is "partial 28S ribosomal RNA". Lineage: Eukaryota; Fungi; Basidiomycota; Agaricomycetes; Boletales; Pisolithaceae. The record is from RNAcentral.
GUAGGACUACCCCUGA